Molecule: long non-coding RNA, 675 nt
Organism: Carassius carassius (crucian carp)
Lineage: Eukaryota; Metazoa; Chordata; Actinopteri; Cypriniformes; Cyprinidae
Exons: 3
Source: RefSeq, a predicted model, not a curated record
AAAUAAGCAGCUUGUUGAUGUGCUACGAGAUUUAAAUUGUAGACUGCGCCUGGAUAAGGACUGGUUCAGAUGGGGAGUGGACUUCAUUGGUGGAUUGUUUACACCCUGGUCAAAAGCUCAGGAACCUGUGAAAUCAACAGAAAAGGAAAAGUCACCAUCAGGUGAUGAAUCCUUAGACAAGCCUCACUAGUGAAAUAAAGGAAAGAGUAGAAGUUGAUGAACACUAAAAUGAGGUGGAUUAGCAGGAAGACAUGACUCUUUGUUAUAAGCACUAGCUAAUGAUGUUGUGAUUACUCAACUCAAUUUUGAAGAAAUAAAAAAAAAAGUGGUACAUGAUUGUACAAUACAGUGUAAGCUCUCAAAUAUAUCAAAUGAACAUGAAAUAUAAACUGAAAGUAAGUCUACAUGUUUAAAGAUUCAAAUCAGUACUAUCAAUGUCAAGUUUUAUACUUCUUUAUGCCAUAAUUUCAUUUUUACAUUUUAUAUUUCUGUACGUUUUUUACAUCUUAUGUCUCUUACAUUUUAAUAUAUAUUAUUUUAAUUUGUAUUAAGUCACGGUUGUGUCUGGACAAAUAUAUUGUUUAAGUUCUGUGGUGAAACAUCUAAGGAAGAGUUUGAUUGUGUUUGGUUCAUUGUACUCUGAACACAAGAUAAUAAUGCUUUGACUGACAUAAG